This is a non-coding RNA of Nicotiana tabacum (common tobacco), 1798 nucleotides long. The record is from RefSeq and is a predicted model, not a curated record. NCBI's taxonomy places the organism in Eukaryota, Viridiplantae, Streptophyta, Magnoliopsida, Solanales, Solanaceae.
UAGACUGUUGUGCAUCAUUUAUUUAUGUCGUGAAAGUUUCGUCCCUCUGUUUCCCUAUUUCUAAUCUCCAAUUCUCCAGUCACUUCCUGUACAACAUGAAUGGUUAUCUCCUCUACUUCUUCUACUUCUUUUUCUGUUUUGCUUUUCUAUCUUUGCUUUUGCCUUCAAUUCUCGUUUGGACAUGAAAAACACAUACUAUGGCUUAUUUACAUGAAGUUAAACACAUAUAAGCUCUCUCCUCGUAAUAUAAUACCUCUAGGAUUUAAUGUAAAAGAAAAAGGGAAAAAUGAAAAUCUUAGGCAUGAUGACAUUUAGCUUAAUAUUGUUUUCAUUAGAUUAUUAUCAUUUGAAUAACUUUUGUAUACUUCUUUAUUUUUUUGGCUAUGAUUUUGGCAUCGAUAUGAAGAUUGCCUGAUCAGAUGUUGUUGCUUCACAUGGGAAAGAAAAGCUGGGCAGAGAGUUGUCAAGGUUCAGUCUUAAUUAUGUGAAAUGCCCCUCUCAACGUCACGGACACAUGGUGAACGCGUGUUUGUGUACUUCAGUAAUUACAUUGAAAAUAUAUUGAACAAAGACAAAUAUAUGUUUUUAAAUAUCUAGCAUUUAAUUCCUUGAGUAUAGCUCAUCCAAUAGAAAAGUGUUCAAUUCUUUGUUUGUUUAUGCAUAUAUAAAACCAAGAGUAGAAAUUAAAAACCUGGCCAAACUGUAAUGUAUUUGUAAUUGUUGUAGUCAAUACACACUUGGUGAAUUGACCAAAUUUGGUACAUAUCCUCGCCCAUACUCAGAUCGUGUCGGAUCGUUGUAAAGUGGUGGCCAUCUCUUUACCAUCAUCUGCCUUGGGACACAAGGAGGGCUGCACUUCUCCAUCACUUCAGUAUGUUUGCGCAAAGGCGAGACUGGCUCAGCAUUUGGAUUGCUGGUCACCUCAUCUGUUGUUCAAUCUUCUGUUCGUUGUUCUUAAACUCAAGUCAAUUCAUGGAAUCACAAGAAAGAGCAUAAAUGGUCAGAAACAUGCAAUCUCUAUUUCACAAUCAGGAAAUCAGGGAGGCAAUGCUAUCAAAAGGAAAUAAGAUCAAACGCAGCUGAUAUGGGAAAGUCAGUUCGUAAAUUAAGGAGAGUCUAUGGAGAAAGAGAUCAGAAAAUUUUGAUGAUGGAUCAAUCAAGCCGUGUCGCAAAUCACUCCUAUAUAUCAGGAACGCAAGAAGGAAAGAAGAUCAUUGAAUUCAGCCUUCCUCGUGAGCUGGAUUCAGAGGCAACCCUUAGGUCAAAUCUCUUUGAAUAAUUUUGCCUCAAUCAAUGGUCAAUCUACAGCGGCUAGUUCAAGAGAAGAUUUCAAGACCUCAAGUCAUUCCUAUAAGAAGGCUGGAAGACAGAAGAAAAGGUUACACAACUUAGUACAUGUUUCUAUACUUUUCUAGUUCUUCGUACAAACACUGUAUUCUUGAAUUUAUAAGUGUCAUAAAAGAUAGCAAGAGUUAGAAAAUAAAAUAAGAGUUGUAUCAAGCAUAGACGAACACUGUUGCUGAAUAUCGUUAGUGGUGAACGAACAAAAACCACAACUGUUGUAACUACUCAAUAUUGAAGAUCAAAGAAAACCCUUGUAACCCAAGAAAACUGGAUGUAGGUACCAUACACAAUUGGGACAAAGGGAAGAUUCUUGUGUACUGUGGCAAAGGGAAGUCAAAGCGAACUUGCCAUGGAGGUGGUGAAACUGUCGCCAUUGUCUUCUUUUCCUUUUAUCACACCAUUAUUUUCAACUAUAAAACCAGACUCUUUUGAGUAAGAGUAAGAUUUUAUCCAA